CGUUUAUGAUGAGGAUACUGAGGUUCCAAGGAGGUGCAGAGGCUUGUCCAAAGCCACAGAACUAGAAAGCGAUCAGGUCAGGUGUCAAACCCAGGCGGUCUGCACCUGACCGGUCCGGACCCUGGGGAAAUAGAGCCAGGAAUUAUAAUGACAGGGAAAACAACCUCGGAGAAGUGAGGAGCUUGGCCAAGUUCUCAGAACUAGAAAUAGAUUACCAGGCCAACAGACCAGAGCCUACACUCCCGGCCACUAACUUCCACGUUACAGGUGAACCAUCACGCUCAAGUUUUUCCAUGAAGCAGACACAGCGGCUGGAAAUGACCAGCGGUUGGAGAUCACUAUGCCGCAUAACGUGGGUCUUACUGUCCUGACAGCAAACUAACUGCGAAGAACUUCAGGCAGGGACAUCGCCUCCCUCGCGGCUGCACAAACCCACCCAAGCCAUCUCCCGUGGGCAGGAGUCCUGAUCAGCUGCGGAGCGAAGGGCCGCCUCGGGAGGUGCCAGGGGACCUGUUUCACCCCAAAGUGGGCCAGCGGGGCCCGUCCCCGCCCUGGCGGCGCAGAGCUGACUCAGGGAGUGGGGAGGGAAAGGAAGGCGCCUGCCGCGGGGUCCACUCCGACGCGCUCCCCACCAUGCAGGUUACCGAUCUGCGCCCUUGCCUCGGGGUCACCUCCUUUCCUAACAAGAGAGAGCCCUUAAGCAGGCGAAGCCUCGCCCUCCCCCCAUUUGUAUCAAUGACAACCAUUCCCUGGAGGUGCCCUACGCUUUAGUUUCCGAACAGCUUUGACAUAUGGCCCCAUUGCGUCGGGAGAGGCAGGCCACCGGGUGCCCACACUUUAAAGAGAGGAAACCGAAGCACGGGAGUGGGAGGGGUUUCUGGGGGCUUCGGAAGCGAGGGUGGGGACGAGGUGGGGAAGGUUCCGCAGCCCCUCCCCCCCCGCACCCCCGCUGGUCCCCGCGCUCCACGCGCGCAGCCGGCGGGAGAGCCCCUCCCUGCCGCAGCUCCCGCCACCUCGGUCCCGCCUCCAGCGCGACCCCCUAUCCCAGCUGCCCCGGCGCUGACCACCCGGGCCAAUACCUCUAGCCAUGGCCGCACUCUGUCACCGCAUAGGAUCUCCCGGGAAACGCAGCUUUCGAAAAAAGUUACAACAACUGUAGCCAACUGCUCCGCCGGACCCCGGCUGCUGCCCUGAUUGGCGCCGCCGCCCGCCUUUCCCCAGGCUGCCCGCCGUAAUAGGCGAACUCGAGGGGGAAAGCCCGCCCUUCUCCCCACCUCCCCUGCGGGGGCGGGGCGAGCGCCCGGACUUCAUACAAACGCUUUCAGGACAGGUCCCAGCGGAGGACGUGGGAGGGGGUUUAAAUUUUACCGUCUCCCCAAGUUGAUUGGCUGCGCUGGAAGGACAUCCGCGCUGCCAUUGGGAGGCCCCAAGCUCCGCCCUCUCCGGGUGCUGCAGCUCCGCCCCGGGGAGAUUUAGUCAAGCGGCUGGAGGCCCGGCCUCAGAUUAGAGCCGCUCGGAACUUCCGGUUUUUCGGGCGUUUGACCGGAACCCGACCUUUGACCCCUCGACCUCGCCUUAUGAUCUGGGAAGCCUAGGUCCCAGCAGUUUAACAUCUGCACCACCUUGACCUUUCCAGCAGUUUAAUCCAUUCAUUCCUAAAUUGAAAGAUUUAUCGAGUCCACUCUUACAGUAUUCAGAACCCGCGGGCACAGUUCUUAACCAACCGUUUUACAGAUGGGGAAAGAGAGGACCAGCAGGAACAGGUAACUAACUUACUGCCCAGUGUCACCCAGCAAUUUAAUUGCAGGUCCUGGAUCAGUCUUUUGACUGUUAGUCCACUAGAGGGCUACCUUAACCCCACGGAAACAACCGGGCACCGUUCUCCACCCAGGGGAGCUCGGUCGUAAGGUCCCAGAGAAACACAGGUGUCCUGGGUAUUCCUUGCUUUGAACACAGGUAAGGUGUCCAGUUACAGCUCUUCCCUGGGGACCCCUCCUGGACAUAUGAGGAGAGGUCACUCAUCCAUCCUCUCUCUUCGGUCCCCAAGAAGAUUUUGGAAUCCCCACCAUUGCCCAAGUACCCUACCAUUGCACCAGGAAGGUAGGAGAGCAAAAUAAGGUGAUAUAUGUGAAAGCACUGGGAAAAGUAGGAAGCAACACUUUUCUCACUCACUGUGUGCCCUUUGGUAUAUUAUUUCAGCUCUCUGUCCCUCGGUUUACCCAGCUGUCAAAUGAUGGAGUCAGCUGUGAUCUCCAAGUUGCCUUCCAGCUUCCAUAAAUACAUAGAGGUUUUUACUUUCUCUAAAAUGCAUUAAUUCAACAUUUAUUGAGCUGUAUAGCUGACACUGUCUGGUCCCCCAAGGAUACAGUGGCGAAUAAGACAGAUCCCUACAUUUUUUAGGACAGAAACAAACAAGAAAUCACGUUUUAAAUAUUAAAUAGUGAUUAAUGCUAUGGGUAAAAUGAAAACAGGGAAUUUUACAGAGUGUGAGUGGGGAGAUCAUUGCUUCUAUGGAUUGGUGAAGUCAGAGAAAUCCUCUUUGAGUUGGUGGCUUUAGGUUAUACCCUAAAUAAGUGAGUCCUAAGGGAGAAGGUACUUGUAGGUAGAGGGAAUAGUGAGCGCAAAUGCCCCAGAAGUGGGAAUAAGCUUGGUUGUCUGGGGAAAGAAAAAGAAACCCAAUGUGAUCGGAACUGAGUGUAUGAUGAGAAUGGAGGGUAUCAGGCUGGGAAGGUAGGCAGGGGCUAUAUCACAUAGGCCCUUGAAGGCUGUGCUGGUCUCUCAGCUCCAAAUUCACUCUUCUCCACCCUGCCGUGCAAUAUUUGGGCUGCAAACUGUAGUGCACCUUUGUCAGCUAGUGUUAGGUUCUGUCAAUAGGCGAGGACACAGGGAGACUGGAAGGCAGGGGGAGGGACUCACUCCUGCCCGUUUGCUUGCUAUUUCUGUCAGGGUAAGUAAUGACAUUUUGCUUCUGACAGGCCAUUUGGUUCAUUCUCCAGGCUCUUUCCAGAAAUAGCCUCAGCGUGCUACCUCAGAAGUACCAGCAGCAGCCCCUCUUCAGAGUUCUGAGCCCCAGCUUUGCAGGGCCCCUCCCGUAAGCUCUUGAAGAGCCAGUGCCGAAGUCAUGGUGCCCCUUUCUCAGAGGCAUAAGAACCAGCCCUCCGGGAAUCCUCUUCUGAUUCUUCUUCUCUGCUAACCCCAACGGGUCUCUUUGUUCUCCAGCCCUAGAAAUGGGAGCUGCUUCCUGCAGUUAUUAUUAAAUGACUUCAGUGUUCCCUUUCUGCUUGUUCGGUCCUCCACCACCUGUUUAAUGAAUUUCCUAUUUUAAAUUCUGUUUUCCUGACCGGACCCUGAUGGACACAAAAGCCAUUAGUAAGGACUGAGACUUUUAUCCCAAAUCUGAUAAGAAGCCACUACGUGUUUUAAGCCAGGGGUAGAUGGAUAGAUUGGUCCAUCUGAACAGCAAUUUUCCAAACAGUUAUGCAAACAGAAGGAUUGCAAAUAGCUACAGUUACAGUAAUCUGCAUUGAGACUCGGGAUCUUGGAAAAAUGUGACAUGCUUCAGGACUGCCUGCUUACCGAUCUCCAUUUUCCUAAGAUGACGUGGGUGAAACCACACCAGUGCUGAGAUGACUUUCCUUACUCUAGGGUUAUCUUUGCAUUAAUAUUUGCUCCACGCUUUUGCUAUUGUUUAAUACUUUUUCAUUAGCAUCAGUUCUUUUUUUUAAUGGAAGGGGUUUUAAAAAAUUUAUUAUUUACUUAUUUAUUUUUAUUUUUGGCUGCGUCUGGUCUUAGUUAUGGCACUCUGGAUCUUCGUUGCGGCACGCGGGCUUCUCUCUAGUUGUGGCGCGUGGGCUCUGUAGUUUGCGGCACACGGGCUCUCUCACUGAGGCGCGCAAGCUCAGAAGUUGUGGCGCGCGGGCUUAGUUGCCCCACAGCAUGGGGGAUCUUAGUUCCCUGACCAGGGAUCGAACCCGUGCCCCCUGCAUUUUAAGGCGGAUUCUUUACCACUGGACCACCAGGGAAGUCCCAGCAUCAGUUCUUAAAAGGUUCUACCGAAUGGGACAUGUAUUCCACAGCUGGUGACCACUGUGAUCUACUAAUUCCUUCCAUUCAUCUUUGUGGCGAGUGAGGGAUACUCUUCGUUGUGGCGCCCGGGCUUCUCCUUGCGGUGGCUUCUCUUGUUGCAGAGCACGGACUCCAGGCACGCAGGCUCAGUAGU
This is a long non-coding RNA of Physeter macrocephalus (sperm whale), 4219 nucleotides long. RefSeq lists it as uncharacterized. The record is from RefSeq and is a predicted model, not a curated record. The transcript has 4 exons. NCBI's taxonomy places the organism in Eukaryota, Metazoa, Chordata, Mammalia, Artiodactyla, Physeteridae.